UACGUAGGGAGCGAGCGUUGUCCGGAAUUACUGGGUGUAAAGGGAGCGUAGGCGGGAUGGUAAGUUAGGUGUGAAAACUAUGGGCUUAACCCAUAGACUGCACUUAAAACUGCUGUUCUUGAGUGAAGUAGAGGUUGGCGGAAUUCCUAGUGUAGCGGUGAAAUGCGUAGAUAUUAGGAGGAACAUCAGUGGCGAAGGCGGCCAACUGGGCUUUUACUGACGCUGAGGCUCGAAAGCGUGGGGAGCAAACAGG
RNAcentral lists this ribosomal RNA (253 nucleotides) under uncultured bacterium. RNAcentral's name for it is "partial 16S ribosomal RNA". It matches the Rfam family "Bacterial small subunit ribosomal RNA", at positions 524 to 776 of the family's 1533-position model. The record is from RNAcentral.